GGUUGGACUUAAAUCCUUUCCAAACUUUUAUGGUGCACUUACAGGAGCCAUUGCUAAAAUGCCGUUUAAGGGAUUGACGCCGGAAGAUACUGUCAGAAACGCACUUAAAUUUGAAAAGGCAAAAUUUUUCAAAAAGGCAUAUCGACAAAAGAAAAAAAAUUCAGAAAACUAAUUUUUAAGUUAAUCAAAUUUAUAAAUUGGAAUUCUUUUAUUAUCCAUCUCAAAGAAGCACAUGCACAAA
Molecule: long non-coding RNA, 241 nt
Organism: Rhagoletis zephyria (snowberry fruit fly)
Lineage: Eukaryota; Metazoa; Arthropoda; Insecta; Diptera; Tephritidae
Source: RefSeq, a predicted model, not a curated record